UACGAAGGGGGCUAGCGUUGCUCGGAAUCAUUGGGCGUAAAGGGUGCGUAGGCGGUUUGUCGCGUCGAAUGUGAAAACCCGGGGCUCAACCCCGGGCCUGCAUUCGAUACGGGCAGACUAGAGUUCGGUAGGGGAGUCUGGAAUUCCUGGUGUAGCGGUGAAAUGCGCAGAUAUCAGGAGGAACACCGGUGGCGAAGGCGGGACUCUGGGCCGAUACUGACGCUGGAGGAGCGAAAGCGUGGGGAGCAAACAGG
This 254-nucleotide ribosomal RNA is filed under the name uncultured bacterium. RNAcentral's name for it is "partial 16S ribosomal RNA". It matches the Rfam family "Bacterial small subunit ribosomal RNA", at positions 524 to 776 of the family's 1533-position model. The record is from RNAcentral.